CGACUUAUAUUCUGUAGCAAGGUUAACCGAAUAGGGGAGCCGAAGGGAAACCGAGUCUUAACUGGGCGUUAAGUUGCAGGGUAUAGACCCGAAACCCGGUGAUCUAGCCAUGGGCAGGUUGAAGGUUGGGUAACACUAACUGGAGGACCGAACCGACUAAUGUUGAAAAAUUAGCGGAUGACUUGUGGCUGGGGGUGAAAGGCCAAUCAAACCGGGAGAUAGCUGGUUCUCCCCGAAAGCUAUUUAGGUAGCGCCUCGUGAAUUCAUCUCCGGGGGUAGAGCACUGUUUCGGCAAGGGGGUCAUCCCGACUUACCAACCCGAUGCAAACUGCGAAUACCGGAGAAUGUUAUCACGGGAGACACACGGCGGGUGCUAACGUCCGUCGUGAAGAGGGAAACAACCCAGACCGCCAGCUAAGGUCCCAAAGUCAUGGUUAAGUGGGAAACGAUGUGGGAAGGCCCAGACAGCCAGGAUGUUGGCUUAGAAGCAGCCAUCAUUUAAAGAAAGCGUAAUAGCUCACUGGUCGAGUCGGCCUGCGCGGAAGAUGUAACGGGGCUAAACCAUGCACCGAAGCUGCGGCAGCGACACUGUGUGUUGUUGGGUAGGGGAGCGU
This 614-nucleotide ribosomal RNA is filed under the name Escherichia coli. RNAcentral's name for it is "partial 23S ribosomal RNA". It matches the Rfam family "Bacterial large subunit ribosomal RNA", at positions 624 to 1239 of the family's 2925-position model. Lineage: Bacteria; Pseudomonadati; Pseudomonadota; Gammaproteobacteria; Enterobacterales; Enterobacteriaceae. The record is from RNAcentral.